GGGGUUGUGGCUCAGUGGUAGAGUGCUCACCUAGCAUGUGUGAGGCCCUGAGUUUGAUCCUCAGCACCACCU
Molecule: transfer RNA, 72 nt
Filed under: Marmota marmota marmota (Alpine marmot)
Lineage: Eukaryota; Metazoa; Chordata; Mammalia; Rodentia; Sciuridae
Also listed under: 1 other name
Rfam family: tRNA
About the family: Transfer RNA (tRNA) molecules are approximately 80 nucleotides in length.
Source: Rfam by way of RNAcentral